CGCGUGCCGGCGACCGGCGCGACGGGUGAGUAACACGUAUGCAACCCUGCCCGUGGCAGGGGGAUAAGCGGGGGAAACCCCGUCUAAUACCGCGUAACGCGGCCUUGGGGCAUCCCAAGGCCGCCAAAGGGAGCAAUCCCGGCCACGGAUGGGCAUGCGGCGCAUUAGCUAGUCGGCGGGGUAACGGCCCACCGAGGCGACGAUGCGUAGGGGUUCUGAGAGGAAGGCCCCCCACACUGGUACUGAGACACGGACCAGACUCCUACGGGAGGCAGCAG
This 278-nucleotide ribosomal RNA is filed under the name uncultured bacterium. RNAcentral's name for it is "partial 16S ribosomal RNA". The stretch from base 22 to 271 matches the Rfam family "Bacterial small subunit ribosomal RNA", at positions 102 to 347 of the family's 1533-position model. The record is from RNAcentral.